Molecule: long non-coding RNA, 383 nt
Organism: Lutra lutra (Eurasian river otter)
Lineage: Eukaryota; Metazoa; Chordata; Mammalia; Carnivora; Mustelidae
Exons: 2
Source: RefSeq, a predicted model, not a curated record
GAUCAAGAGUUACAUGCUUUAUCGACUGAGCCAGCCAGGUGCCCCCACCUUCUAGGUUUUUGAAUCCCUGCAACAUCUGUGCUUGGGAAUUGACGAAGUUCUUUCCAGCUUGUCUCUCAUGGAAAAGUCCCACCCAAGGCAUCCUGUGAUGGGAACGGAAACUACUCCCUCAAGCAGUAGGGACUGCUCUGAGCCAGUAAGACCCCCUUCCCGACUAACCCCAAGACAAUGACCUGACCUUCACUGCCCACUGACCUUUGUCCCACAUUUUUUCUUCUAUAAACCUAGAAGUGUUUUCAGCACUUUGGAGACCGUCUUUGAGAUGCUUGUCUGCCGUCUUCCUGGGGCUGGCCUCACUGAAGUAAAUCCCUUUCUUGUUUAAC